GACGAACGCUGGCGGCGUGCUUAACACAUGCAAGUCGAACGGAAAGGCCCUGCUUUUGUGGGGUGCUCGAGUGGCGAACGGGUGAGUAACACGUGAGUAACCUGCCCUUGACUUUGGGAUAACUUCAGGAAACUGGGGCUAAUACCGGAUAGGAGCUCCUGCUGCUUGGUGGGGGUUGGAAAGUUUCGGCGGUUGGGGAUGGACUCGCGGCUUAUCAGCUUGUUGGUGGGGUAGUGGCUUACCAAGGCUUUGACGGGUAGCCGGCCUGAGAGGGUGACCGGCGACAAUGGGACUGAGAGACGGCCCAGAAUGCUACGGGAGGCAGCAGGGGGGAAUAUUGCACAAUGGGCGGAAGCGUGAUGCAGAAACGCCGCGUGCGGGAUGACGGCCUUCGGGUUGUAAACCGCUUUCGCCUGUGACGAAGCGUGAGUGACGGUAAUGGGUAAAGAAGCACCGGCUAACUACGUG
RNAcentral lists this ribosomal RNA (468 nucleotides) under uncultured bacterium. RNAcentral's name for it is "partial 16S ribosomal RNA". It matches the Rfam family "Bacterial small subunit ribosomal RNA", at positions 28 to 507 of the family's 1533-position model. The record is from RNAcentral.